RNAcentral lists this ribosomal RNA (936 nucleotides) under uncultured Lentisphaerales bacterium. RNAcentral's name for it is "bacterial SSU rRNA". It matches the Rfam family "Bacterial small subunit ribosomal RNA", at positions 8 to 933 of the family's 1533-position model. The record is from RNAcentral. Lineage: Bacteria; Pseudomonadati; Lentisphaerota; Lentisphaeria; Lentisphaerales.
AGAGUUUGAUCCUGGCUCAGAACGAACGCUGGCGGCGUGGCUAAGACAUGCAAGUCGAACGGACUGUUCAAUUUAUUGUUCAGUUAGUGGCGAAAGGGUUAGUAACGGGUAGGUAACGUACCCUGUGCUUUGGGAUAGUGUCAGUUGCUUCGGCAACUUUCCGAAAGGGGCAGUAAUACCAAAUAAUAUCAUCUGUCGAUAGGCGGAUGAUCAAAGAUUUAUCGGCACGGGAGCGGCCUGCCUCCUAUCAGCUUGUUGGUGAGGUAAAGGCUCACCAAGGCAACGACGGGUAGCGGGACUGAGAGGUUGGCCCGCAACAUCGGGACUGAGACACUGCCCGGACCUCCACGGAGGGCUGCAGUAACGGAUAUUGCGCAAUGGGCGAAAGCCUGACGCAGCGACGCCGCGUGUAGGAUGAAGUCUUUCGGGAUGUAAACUACUGUCAGGGGGAAGAAAGUGCGCUUCGGCGUAUUGAUCUAACCCAGAGGAAGUCACGGCUAACUUCGUGCCAGCAGCCGCGGUAGGACGAAGGUGGCAAGCGUUGUUCGGUAUUACUGGGCGUAAAGCGCGCGUAGGCGGCUUGGUCAGUCGGAUGUGAAAGCCCCGGGCUUAACCUGGGAAUUGCAUUCGAUACUGCCAGGCUAGAAUGUAGUAGAGGGAAGUGGAAUUCCGGGUGUAGCGGUGAAAUGCGUAGAUAUCCGGAGGAACAUCAGUGGCGAAGGCGACUUCCUGGACUAACAUUGACGCUGAGGUGCGAAAGCGUGGGGAGCAAACAGGAUUAGAUACCCUGGUAGUUCACGCCGUAAACGAUGUCAACUAGAUGUUGGGGGGUUUAACCCCUUAGUAUCGCAGCUAACGCAUUAAGUUGUACCCGCCUUGGAAGUACGGCCGCAAGGUUAAAACUCCAAAGGAAUUGACGGGGCCCGCACAAGCGGU